AUGAAGAACGUAGCGAAAUGCGAUAAGUAAUGUGAAUUGCAGAAUUCAGUGAAUCAUCGAAUCUUUGAACGCACAUUGCGCCCCCUGGUAUUCCGGGGGGCAUGCCUGUUCGAGCGUCAUUUCAACCCUCAAGCUCUGCUUGGUAUUGAGUCCAUGUCAGCAAUGGCAGGCUCCAAAAUCAGUGGCGGCGCCGCUGGGUCCUGAACGUAGUAAUAUCUCUCGUUACAGGUGCUCGGCGUGCUUCUGCCAAAACCCCAAUUUUUCUAUGGUUGACCUCGGAUCAGGUAGGGAUACCCGCUGAACUUAAGCAUAUCAAUAAGCGGAGGA
RNAcentral lists this unclassified non-coding RNA (327 nucleotides) under soil metagenome. Its description in RNAcentral is "partial contains 5.8S ribosomal RNA, internal transcribed spacer 2, and large subunit ribosomal RNA". The stretch from base 1 to 119 matches the Rfam family "5.8S ribosomal RNA", at positions 36 to 154 of the family's 154-position model. The record is from RNAcentral.